This 126-nucleotide ribosomal RNA is filed under the name Phocaeicola vulgatus. RNAcentral describes it as "partial 23S ribosomal RNA". It matches the Rfam family "Bacterial large subunit ribosomal RNA", at positions 2783 to 2925 of the family's 2925-position model. The record is from RNAcentral. Lineage: Bacteria; Pseudomonadati; Bacteroidota; Bacteroidia; Bacteroidales; Bacteroidaceae.
AAGUACGAAGCCGGCCACAAGAUUAGAUUUCUCAGGGUCGUUGUAGACUACGACGUUGAUAGGAUGCAGGUGUAAAGGUAGAGAUACCAAAGCCGAGCAUUACUAAUUGCCCGUCCACUUUCCUUA